This is a non-coding RNA of Brugia malayi, 70 nucleotides long. Lineage: Eukaryota; Metazoa; Nematoda; Chromadorea; Rhabditida; Onchocercidae. The record is from RefSeq and is a predicted model, not a curated record.
UUGGAAAGAUGACAGAUGGUAGUUUCAAUGAUAAUCAUAAUGAUCAUCAUCAUCAUCAUCAUUAUCACUA